RNAcentral lists this ribosomal RNA (433 nucleotides) under uncultured bacterium. Its description in RNAcentral is "partial 16S ribosomal RNA". It matches the Rfam family "Bacterial small subunit ribosomal RNA", at positions 29 to 507 of the family's 1533-position model. The record is from RNAcentral.
AACGAACGCUGGCGGCAUGCCUAACACAUGCAAGUCGAACGAGACCUUCGGGUCUAGUGGCGCACGGGUGCGUAACGCGUGGGAACCUGCCCUUAGGUUCGGAAUAACUCCCCGAAAGGGGUGCUAAUACCGGAUAAUGUCUUCGGACCAAAGAUUUAUCGCCUUUGGAUGGGCCCGCGUUGGAUUAGCUAGUUGGUAGGGUAAAAGCCUACCAAGGCGACGUUCCAUAGCUGGUCUGAGAGGAUGGUCAGCCACACUGGGACUGAGACACGGCCCAGACUCCUACGGGAGGCAGCAGUGGGGAAUAUUGGACAAUGGGCGAAAGCCUGAUCCAGCAAUGCCGCGUGAGUGAUGAAGGCCUUAGGGUUGUAAAGCUCUUUUACCCGGGAUGAUAAUGACAGUACCGGGAGAAUAAGCUCCGGCUAACUCCGUG